RNAcentral lists this ribosomal RNA (199 nucleotides) under uncultured bacterium. RNAcentral's name for it is "partial 16S ribosomal RNA". It matches the Rfam family "Bacterial small subunit ribosomal RNA", at positions 328 to 539 of the family's 1533-position model. The record is from RNAcentral.
ACGCUCGACACCUACUGGAGGCAGCAGUCGGGAAUAUUGCGCAAUGGAGGAAACUCUGACGCAGUGACGCCGCGUAUGGGAAGAAGGUUUUCGGAUUGUAAACCAUUUUAGACAAGGAAGAAACAAGACAGUACUUGUAGAAUAAGCUCCGGCUAACUACGUGCAAGCAGCCGCGGUAAUCUGAGCGGGCUGGCAAGGC